GCCGAGGUGGCCCAGUUGGUGAGAGCGGGCGGCUCAUAACCGUCAGGUCGGGAGUUCGAGUCUCCCCCUCGGCA
Molecule: transfer RNA, 74 nt
Filed under: Myxococcales bacterium
Lineage: Bacteria; Pseudomonadati; Myxococcota; Myxococcia; Myxococcales
Description: tRNA-Met
Rfam family: tRNA
About the family: Transfer RNA (tRNA) molecules are approximately 80 nucleotides in length.
Source: RNAcentral